GAUGAACGCUGGCGGCGUGCUUAACACAUGCAAGUCGAACGGAAAGGCCCUGCUUUUGUUGGGUGCUCGAGUGGCGAACGGGUGAGUAACACGUGAGUAACCUGCCCUUGACUUUGGGAUAACUUCAGGAAACUGGGGCUAAUACCGGAUAGGAGCUCCUGCUGCAUGGUGGGGGGUGGAGAGUUUCGGCGGUUGGGGAUGGACUCGGGGCUUAUCAGCUUGUUGGUGGGGUAGUGGCUUACCAAGGCUGUGAGGGGUAGCCGGCCGGAGGGGGUGACGGGCCCCAUUGGGACUGCGAUAGGGCCAAGACUCCAACGGGGGGCAGCGGUGGGGAAUAUUGAACAAUGGGCGGAAGCCUGAUGAAGCACGGCCGGGUGCGGGAUGACGGCUUUCGGGUUGUAAACCGCUUUGGCAUGUGACGAACCGUGUGUGACGGUACUGGGUAAAGAAGCACCGGCUAACUACGUG
RNAcentral lists this ribosomal RNA (468 nucleotides) under uncultured bacterium. RNAcentral's name for it is "partial 16S ribosomal RNA". It matches the Rfam family "Bacterial small subunit ribosomal RNA", at positions 28 to 507 of the family's 1533-position model. The record is from RNAcentral.